This 443-nucleotide ribosomal RNA is filed under the name uncultured bacterium. RNAcentral's name for it is "partial 16S ribosomal RNA". It matches the Rfam family "Bacterial small subunit ribosomal RNA", at positions 338 to 795 of the family's 1533-position model. The record is from RNAcentral.
CCUACGGGUGGCAGCAGUGGGGAAUAUUGGGCAAUGGAGGCAACUCUGACCCAGCAACGCCGCGUGAAUGAUGAAGGUCUUCGGAUUGUAAAGUUCUGUGAUGGGGGAUGAACACAAUGACGGUAUCCCAAUAGCAAGCCAUGGCUAACUACGUGCCAGCAGCCGCGGUAAUACGGAGGUGGCAAGCGUUAUCCGGAAUGACUGGGCGUAAAGGGGGCGUAGGGGGUUUAGUAAGUUGGCGGUGUAAUUCCGGGGCUCAACCUCGGCGCUACCGCCAAAACUAUUAGACUAGAGUGCAGGAGGGGUAAGUGGAAUUCCUAGUGUAGCGGUGGAAUGCGUAGAUAUUAGGAGGAACAUCAGGGGCGAAGGCGACUUACUGGACUGUAACUGACACUGAGGCACGAAAGCGUGGGGAGCAAACAGGAUUAGAUACCCUAGUAGUC